GAUGAACGCUGGCGGCGUGCCUAACACAUGCAAGUCGAGCGAACAGACGAGGAGCUUGCUCCUCUGACGUUAGCGGCGGACGGGUGAGUAACACGUGGAUAACCUACCUAUAAGACUGGGAUAACUCUGGGAAACCGGUGCUAAUACCGGAUAACAUGUUGAACCGCAUGGUUCAACAGUGAAAGACGUUCUUUCUGUCACUUAUAGUUGUAUCCUAGCCGCAUUAGCUAGUUGGUAAGGUAACGGCUUACUAAGGCAACGAUGCGUAGCCGACCUGAGAGGAAGAUCGGCCACAGUGCAACUGAGACGCGGUGCCGCAUCGUACGGGAGGCAGCGGUAGGGAAUCUUCCGGCAUGAGCGGAAGCCUGACGGAGCAACGGCGCGUGAGUGAAGAAGAUCUUCGGAUCGUAAAACUCUGUUAUUAGGGAAGAACAAAUGUGUAAGUAACAAUGCACGUCUUGACGGUACCUAAACAAAAAGCCACGGCUAACUACGUG
Molecule: ribosomal RNA, 497 nt
Filed under: uncultured bacterium
Lineage: Bacteria
Description: partial 16S ribosomal RNA
Rfam family: Bacterial small subunit ribosomal RNA
Source: RNAcentral